CUUGGGAUGAGCCCCCGGCCUAUCAGCUAGUUGGUGAGGUAAUGGCUCACCAAGGCGUCGACGGGUAGCCGGCCUGAGAGGGUGACCGGCCACACUGGGACUGAGACACGGCCCAGACUCCCACGGGAGGCAGCAGUGGGGAAUAUUGCACAUGGGCGCAAGCCUGAUGCAGCAACGCCGCGUGAGGGACGACGGCCUUCGGGUUGUAAACCUCUUUUAGCAGGGAAGAAGCGAAAGUGACGGUACCUCAUAAGACGAUC
RNAcentral lists this ribosomal RNA (260 nucleotides) under uncultured Microbacterium sp. RNAcentral describes it as "partial 16S ribosomal RNA". It matches the Rfam family "Bacterial small subunit ribosomal RNA", at positions 219 to 493 of the family's 1533-position model. Lineage: Bacteria; Bacillati; Actinomycetota; Actinomycetes; Micrococcales; Microbacteriaceae. The record is from RNAcentral.